CUCCCUCUUCUGAGGCAGGGGAGGAGAUAAUAGAGAUCUGGGGAGACAUGCCUGGGAUUGGGGUCUCAGAAGGCAGUGCUGUUGAGGAGUCUCCACCAUGGCCUGGUCUCUAGUCUUUCUUACCCUCCUCACUCAGGGCACAGGGUCCUGGGCCCAGUCUGCCCUGACUCAGCCAUCCUCAGUGUCUGGGGCUCUGGGACAGACAGUUACCAUCUCUUGCACUGGAACCAGCAAUGACAUUGGGGGGUAUAAUGGUGUCUCCUGGCACCAACAGUAUCCUGGCAUGGCCCCCAAAACUCUGAUUUAUAAUGUAAAUAAUCGGCCAUCAGGGAUCCCUGAUCGCUUCUCUGGCUCCAAGUCUGGCAACACGGCCUCCCUGACCAUCUCUAGGCUCCAGCCUGAGGAUGAGGCUGAGUAUUACUGUUCCUCAUAUAGAAGUGGUAGCACUUAUGUGUUCGGCAGCGGGACCCAGCUGACCGUCCUCGGUCAGCCCAAGUCCGCGCCCUCGGUGGCGCUCUUCCCGCCCUCCUCUGAGGAACUCCGCGCCAACAAGGCCACCCUGGUGUGCCUCAUCAGUGACUUCUACCCCAGCGGCGUGACGGUGGCCUGGAAGGCAAACGGCAGCCCCGUCACCGACGGCGUGGAGACCACCAAGCCCUCCAAACAGAGCAACAACAAGUACGCGGCCAGCAGCUACCUGAGCCUGUCGCCUGACAAGUGGAAAUCAUACAGCAGCGUCAGCUGCCUGGUCACGCACGAGGGGAGCACCGUGGAGAAGAAGGUGGUCCCCGCAGAGUGCUCUUAGGUCCCCGACACCCUCCCCCACCCAAGGGGGCCUGGAACCACAGGACCUCCAGGAGGACCUGCCCUCCCCCCAGGGUCACCCCGGCCCUUCUCGCUGCACCCGCUCGACACUCAAUAAAAUGUCCUUUAUUCAAUCAGAAA
Molecule: non-coding RNA, 945 nt
Organism: Zalophus californianus (California sea lion)
Lineage: Eukaryota; Metazoa; Chordata; Mammalia; Carnivora; Otariidae
Source: the annotation of a RefSeq genome assembly